GUGCUCGCUUCGGCAGCACAUAGACUAAAAUUGGAACAAUAGAGAAGAUUAGCAUGGCCCCUGCACAAGGAUGACACACAAAUUCGUGAUGCAUUCCAUAUUUUA
Molecule: small nuclear RNA, 105 nt
Filed under: Echinops telfairi (small Madagascar hedgehog)
Lineage: Eukaryota; Metazoa; Chordata; Mammalia; Afrosoricida; Tenrecidae
Source: RNAcentral